GACGGGCAGCUUCCCGGAAACGAAAGUUUUUCGGUUCCGGGGGAAGUAUGGUUGCAAAGCUGAAACUUAAAGAAAUUGACGGAAGGGCACCACCAGGAGUGGAGCCUGCGGCUUAAUUUGACUCAACACGGGAAAACUCACCUGGCCCGGACACCGUGAGGAUUGACAGAUUGAGAGCUCUUUCAUGAUUCGGUGGUUGGUGGUGCAUGGCCGUUCUUAGUUGGUGGAGUGAUUUGUCUGGUUUAUUCCGAUAACGAGCGAGACUCUAKSCUACUAAAUAGUUACUGAAUAAUUUUGUUCAGACAACUUCUUAGAGGGACAAGCGGUGUUUAGCCGCAUGAAGUUGAGCAAUAACAGGUCUGUGAUGCCCUUAAAUGUCCAGGGCUGCACSCGCGCUACACUGGAGGAAUCAGCGUGCUGUAACCAUUACCGAGAGGUACUGGUAACCCCUUGAAAAUCCUCCGUGAUCGGGAUCGGGAAUUGCAAUUAUUUCCCUUGAACKAGGAAUUCCUAGUAASUGUGAGUCAUCAGCUCACGUUGAUUACGUCCCUGCCCUUUGUACACACCGCCCGUCSCUGCCCGGGACUGAGCCGUUUCGAGAAAAGCGGGGACUGCUGUUUCGAUACCUUUCGAGGUGGAGAU
Molecule: ribosomal RNA, 642 nt
Filed under: Monanema martini
Lineage: Eukaryota; Metazoa; Nematoda; Chromadorea; Rhabditida; Onchocercidae
Description: SSU rRNA
Rfam family: Eukaryotic small subunit ribosomal RNA
Source: RNAcentral